AUUCCAGCUCCAAUAGCGUAUAUUAAAGUUGUUGCAGUUAAAAAGCUCGUAGUUGGAUUUCUGGCGGGAGCGGCCUGUCCUGCCCUUUGCGGGGUUGAGCACAAGCGCUGCAUCCGGCCAUCCUUGUGGAGAGCGUUUCUGGCAUUCAGUUGUCGGACUCGGGAUCCGCAUCGUUUACUGUGAAAAAAUUAGAGUGUUUAAAGCAGGCAUUUGCUUGAAUACAUUAGCAUGGAAUAAUAAGAUAGGACUUAGUCGUUAUUUUGUUGGUCUUGCACGUCUAGGUAAUGAUUAAUAGGGAUAGUUGGGGGUAUUCAUGUUUAAUUGUCAGAGGUGAAAUUCUUGGAUUUAUGAAAGAUGAACUUCUGCGAAAGCAUUUGCCAAGGAUGUUUUCAUUG
This 395-nucleotide ribosomal RNA is filed under the name Stramenopiles sp. MAST-6. RNAcentral's name for it is "partial small subunit ribosomal RNA". It matches the Rfam family "Eukaryotic small subunit ribosomal RNA", at positions 582 to 975 of the family's 1831-position model. The record is from RNAcentral.